GUGCCUGUGGCUCAAAGGAGUAGAGCACUGGCCCGAUAUGCCAAAGGUGGCGGGUUCAAACCCAGCCCUGGCCA
This 74-nucleotide transfer RNA is filed under the name Otolemur garnettii (small-eared galago). It matches the Rfam family "tRNA". From Rfam's summary of the family: Transfer RNA (tRNA) molecules are approximately 80 nucleotides in length. The record is from Rfam by way of RNAcentral. Lineage: Eukaryota; Metazoa; Chordata; Mammalia; Primates; Galagidae.